AUGACGGGAAGUCGGGGUUAGGGCAGAGGGCGCGGCGCGGGGGAGGUGGCUGAGCAAGAGGCCGGAGGGCCGAGAGAAGCGCGCGCAGGGACUGCCGAGGACGUGACGGCAGCAGCGCCAGCAGCCGCGUGACCCUAGCGGGAAGGAGGGGUGCCUCUGGCUUGAUCGCCCGCGGGAGCUCCAGGUUGUAGGAUGUCGAGCACAGUUAGCUAGCUCCGGGUUGCGCCCUCCCCUCGACUUUCACUUCCCCGGGAGGGAGGAAGCGGAACCAGAUGCACAGCGCAGAACAGCUGGGGACAGUCCCUGGAGCCGCCCGCCCUCCGCCCGCCCUAACCCGCCCGCCGCCCCGCCCGGUCCGGCCCCUACCUGCCUGCCCUGGGACUCCCCAGCCGGCCCGCUGGCGGGUGGCUCCGAGGGCGGGCUGGCGGGCCGGCGGGCGGCCGGGCUGCUAUCCAGCCCCGGACAUGGCGCACUCGACUUAGGAGCCGCUCGCGCCCGGGCUGAAGGAAGAAGCAGCAGCCGAGGGCGCCGGGCACAGUGGAAGAUCUGGGCGGUCCCAGCGUCCCCGCGCGCUGCGCCACGCGGGGACUGCUGCUACACCGCUAGCUCCAGCCGC
This 616-nucleotide long non-coding RNA is filed under the name Rattus norvegicus (Norway rat). Its description in RNAcentral is "long non-coding RNA NONRATT016613". Lineage: Eukaryota; Metazoa; Chordata; Mammalia; Rodentia; Muridae. The record is from RNAcentral.